Molecule: ribosomal RNA, 934 nt
Filed under: Baylisascaris procyonis (raccoon roundworm)
Lineage: Eukaryota; Metazoa; Nematoda; Chromadorea; Rhabditida; Ascarididae
Description: SSU rRNA
Rfam family: Eukaryotic small subunit ribosomal RNA
Source: RNAcentral
CCAAAGCUCCGAUUUUCUGACGAGCGCAUCUAUUAGAUUAAAACCAAUCGGGUUUCGGCCCGUCAAUUGGUGACUCUGAAUAACUAUAGCUGAUCGCAUGGUCUCGAACCGGCGACGUGUCUAUCAAGUGUCUGCCUUAUCAACUGUCGAUGGUAGUUUAUGUGCCUACCAUGGUUGUAACGGGUAACGGAGAAUAAGGGUUCGACUCCGGAGAGGGAGCCUGAGAAACGGCUACCACAUCCAAGGAAGGCAGCAGGCGCGCAAAUUACCCACUCUCGGCAUGAGGAGGUAGUGACGAAAAAUAACGAGACCGUUCUCUAUGAGGCCGGUUAUCGGAAUGGGUACAAUUUAAACCCGUUAACGAGGAUCUAUGAGAGGGCAAGUCUGGUGCCAGCAGCCGCGGUAAUUCCAGCUCUCAAAGUGUAUAUCGUCAUUGCUGCGGUUAAAAAGCUCGUAGUUGGAUCUGCGCCUCAGGACCUGGUCCGCCCACUGGGCGAGAACUGGGCUCCUGGGCUAGUUCUGCUGGUUUUCCCUACGUUGCCUUCAUCGGUCGCGUAGGGUGGCUAGCGAGUUUACUUUGAAAAAAUUAGAGUGCUUCACGCGGGCUUAUGUCUGAAUACUCGUGCAUGGAAUAAUAGAAUAGGAUCUCGGUUCUAUUUUGUUGGUUUUCUGAUCUGAGAUAAUGGUUAAGAGGGACGGACGGGGGCAUUCGUAUCGCUGCGUGAGAGGUGAAAUUCUUGGACCGUAGCGAGACGUCCGACUGCGAAAGCAUUUGCCAAGAAUGUCUUCAUUAAUCAAGAACGAAAGUCAGAGGUUCGAAGGCGAUCAGAUACCGCCCUAGUUCUGACCGUAAACGAUACCAACUAGCGUUCCGUCGGCGGUAAAUACGCCUUGACGGGCAGCUUCCCGGAAACGAAAGUCUUUCGGUUCCGGG